This 513-nucleotide ribosomal RNA is filed under the name uncultured bacterium. Its description in RNAcentral is "partial 16S ribosomal RNA". It matches the Rfam family "Bacterial small subunit ribosomal RNA", at positions 28 to 523 of the family's 1533-position model. The record is from RNAcentral.
GACGAACGCUGGCGGCAUGCCUAAUACAUGCAAGUCGAGCGAACAGAUGAAGUGCUUGCACUUCUGACGUUAGCGGCGAACGGGUGAGUAACACGUAAGGAAUCUACCUAUAAGCGGGGGAUAACAUUCGGAAACGGGUGCUAAUACCGCAUAAUAUCUUCUUCCGCAUGGAAGAAGAUUGAAAGACGGCUCUGCUGUCACUUAUAGAUGACCUUGCGGUGCAUUAGUUAGUUGGUGGGGUAAUGGCCUACCAAGACGAUGAUGCAUAGCCGACCAGAGAGGGUGAUCGGCCACAUUGGGACUGAGACACGGCCCAAACUCCUACGGGAGGCAGCAGUAGGGAAUCGUCCGCACUGGGCGAAAGCCCGACGGAGCAAUGCCGCGUGAGUGAAGAAGGCCUUCGGGUCGUAAAACUCUGUUAUAAGAGAAGAACAAAUUGUAGAGUAACUGCUACAGUCUUGACGGUAUCUUAUCAGAAAGCCACGGCUAACUACGUGCCAGCAGCCGCCGUAA